CAGACCAUACACCACUACCUUAGGUGAAGUAAAGAGACUGUUUCCAAUAGACCCCCGGCUUAGAAUCGAUAACAGUAUAACAAACACAAAAGAUAAGUGCAAAAUAAACUAACACUGCUAGCAACAAAAUAAUACUACAACCACAAGAUAAUAAUAAGAACUAUCUAACCAAAAUCAUAGACAUCACACAGUACCACAAAUAAGAAACUACAGACACAAAAGAACACAUCCUUAUUGUUACCGACGCACUCCCAACCCUAACCCUCUACCCUAAUUUGCGCCGUCCGCACCUUCCUAUCAAGGGUUAUGUCCUCCGUAAGUUGUAACUGCUUCAUAUCAUGUCUAAUCACCUCCCUUCAAUAAUUCUUCAGUCUACUUCUACCCCGCC
This 388-nucleotide long non-coding RNA is filed under the name Capsicum annuum. Its description in RNAcentral is "long non-coding RNA (CANN_LNC002265)". The record is from RNAcentral. Lineage: Eukaryota; Viridiplantae; Streptophyta; Magnoliopsida; Solanales; Solanaceae.